RNAcentral lists this ribosomal RNA (464 nucleotides) under uncultured bacterium. Its description in RNAcentral is "partial 16S ribosomal RNA". It matches the Rfam family "Bacterial small subunit ribosomal RNA", at positions 30 to 507 of the family's 1533-position model. The record is from RNAcentral.
UGAACGCUGGCGGCGUGCUUAACACAUGCAAGUCGAACGGAAAGGCCGAAGCUUGCUUCGGUACUCGAGUGGCGAACGGGUGAGUAACACGUGGGUGAUCUGCCCUGUACUUCGGGAUAAGCUUGGGAAACUGGGUCUAAUACCGGAUAUGACAAUCUCUUGGAUGGGGUUGUGGAAAGCUUUUGCGGUAUGGGAUGAGCUCGCGGCCUAUCAGCUUGUUGGUGGGGUAAUGGCCUACCAAGGCGUCGACGGGUAGCCGGCCUGAGAGGGUGUACGGCCACAUUGGGACUGAGAUACGGCCCAGACUCCUACGGGAGGCAGCAGUGGGGAAUAUUGCACAAUGGGCGCAAGCCUGAUGCAGCGACGCCGCGUGGGGGAUGACGGCCUUCGGGUUGUAAACUCCUUUCGCAACCGACGAAGCUUUUGUGACGGUAGGUUGAGAAGAAGCACCGGCUAACUACGUG